CAGCUGUGGAGACAGCCCGCGUUCCCGGCAUGCCCCGGGGCGGCGGGGUUGGCUCUAACGAAUUUGAAUGAGGAGCCUCGGCGCUUUCGGCGCCAUUUUCGAGUGAUGCCUCAUCUCAUCCAUCUAGCGGGACGGAAGGGCUAACCUGUCCGAGCGUGGCGCGACGCGGGGAUCGCGCCGGAAAAUCCCCCAAAAAUCAGCAAAAAAUAUAGAUAUAACGGAAACCAAGGGGCAGUCGGCGGAGCUCCGCCGGACUUGGCGCGGACGAUUUUAACCUUUAGAAGAGAACCAAUUCUGGAAAACAGCCUAACUUUCUUUGACUGAAUACUGACAUCAUGAAUUGGAACGUGAUAGAGGAUUAAGGUUUAACAAUGAUAAAUGAAGAUAUUACUAAAACAGCCUGCUUAGUAGCUCAACAAUUAUUUUUGCUAGAGAUGGGGCCCAGGGCCUUCCAGGAACCAAGGCAAGCACUUUACCUCCCUAGCUCUUUAUCUGUGGAAUAUGGAUGUCCUAGAAGUGGCAUAAUGGUGUUAAUAUGUUAGGUGCUCUCAACUGAAUAAUGGUAGUAUUUUGCAUUCAUUUUUUCAAGUUGCAUAAAGAGUUUUCUUUCCAGUUUAAAGUUCUAGUAGAAAUUUUUUGUUGCUUAAGAAAUUCAAAAAGUCAUUGAUUUCUUUUUUUCUCAUUGCUUUUUCUUUUUGUAAAUGCUUUUAUUUCCCACAUUGCAUUUUUAGCUACAUAAACUUAAAUUAUCUAUUUAUAUAAUGCAAAUUUAAAAUUUAUUGUUUGAGGGGCUAGUGAGAUCACUUUGGGUAAGAGCCCUUGCUGCUCUUCCAGAGGGCCCAUGUUUGGUUCCCAGAGCCUACAUCAGGCAGCUCAUAACAAACUCCAGGGAACCAGCACUCUCUUUUCUGCAGGCACCCACAUACUUGUGACGUACUUCACAUAUACAUUCACAUAAAAAUUCAUUUAAAAAUACAUAUCAUUGAUAGUUUAAAAUCUUGGACUGCAUGCUGUCCACAUUUAAGAAUAUUAUGCUAGGUAGAGGUGGUGCACACCUUUAAUCCCAACACCCAGGAGGCAGAGGCAGAUGAAUCUCUGUGAGUUCAAGGCCAGCCUGGUCUACAAAGCAAGAUCCAGGACAACCAGGGCAAACUAGAGAAACCCUGUCUUGAAGAACAAAAACAAACAAAAAGAAUAUUACAACUAUCUUUUUAACAUAAAACAGUAGAAAUACUAAGAUAUUGACCUAAUAAACAAAAUAUGAAGAAAAAUUCACAUUCAGUCCUGUCAGUAUUGAUAAUCUUGUAAUCUAAUGACAGAAACCAAUUACUUCUUAAUUCAGGAAACCUCCUCAGUUUGACUACUCUCAGACACUAUGCUUGUAAAAAUAAAAAAGGUAGAACGACUUCCCAUGUAGAAAAUACGUCAGGCUAACAAUAAAAUAGCAGUGAUACUCAAUCAUAAUCAGUUUUAAAAGUAUUGUUAGUUGUUGAAUUAAUAAUAUAAAUAUCUGGGUUAAUAUAUAGAGAGAAAAGUAAUAUUUUCAUUAUUGGGGGAAUUAGAAUCAAUGAUAUGGCAAGUGAUGAAAUUUUUUAUUUUCAGUAAAAAAUUAAUUUUGUAAUGAUAUAUAAUAGAUGGGCUGAAAAUCUUACAGUUUUUAAUUGUGAUGUAAAUUUCUUUGUAUAAACUGCUGUUUGUCAUGCCACUUAGGAGGAAAUUUUGCCUAUCUUAAGUAGUUUCUUUAAAAAGAACUGUUUCUUAGGAGUGUAUGCCAAAAGUGAAAAAACAUAGUUGCAUAUUUUGGAGUUGAAUUAGUGAUGAAAGAUGGCAGAUACUGUCAUAAUUGAGAGUAGAAAAGGAUGCCUUAUAUACCUACUGAUAAAAUACCUCACUAUUAAUUUAGUAAGAAUGUAAAAUCUAGGUUCUGGAAGUUAUAUAUUGCUUUUAAUUCAUGGGCAUAGGAAAAAUUCACAGUGUUCUCAUUUUUUUUUUUUUAGUUGUUGAAAAAGUAUUAGUUUUGAGAAUUAGAAAAGUUUUAACUCAAUGCCAGAUAUUCUUUGUCCUCCAAGCCUUUAAUAUUUGAUGUAUAAGUAUUUAAAACAAUGAUUAUUUUAAAUCUUGACCUUUUUACUUGAUGAUAUUUCUGUUCUCAACAAAAUGGCAACCUUGAAAUUUAAGUUUUAAUGCAAAUUAUGGGCUCAUUUUUUCCCACUCUGAACAACUUUUCAGCUUCUACAAAGUUUCAGAUAAUAGAAUUUAUUCAUGAGGUUACUUUGGAUAUUAGAAAGGUUAAAAUGGGGGCUGGAAGUGUAGCUCACUUGAUAAGAGUGCUUACCUAGAGCAUGACACUCUGUAUUUGAUAUCUACACCAAGUAAACUGGGUAGAGUGGUGCACACCUAUAAUCCCAGCAGUAGGUGGAGGAGGGCAGGAGAAACAGAAAUUAAGAUCAUCCUUGACACUUAGUAAAAUUGAGGACAUCCUUAGUUACAUGAUACCUUGUCUGGAGAGAGGGAAGUAGGGGCGUUUAAGAUACACCACAGGUUUGAAUUUUAGUGGUGUAUAUGUUUCCUCAAAGUUCUUACUUAAAAACAACUUCAUAGUAUAUAGAACUUUAUUCUUAGGCCCUCGAUCAGUGUCCCAAAACAGUUUUUACAUCUUUUCUGAAGGCUGAACAUACCCAGGUCUUUUCAUGGAUUCUUAUAGCAUCAAUUGUGAACUAUAAAUAUCAUGGGUACUCUACUUUGAUCCUGCUCCAUUUUAUAGCAGCCUUUUAAAACCAUUUGUAGAAGUAGAGCCAGUAUAGUCAAUGUGGCCAAGGUACAAGAUCUUUUAUAAUUAUGGUACUUUUAGAGCAGGCAACAACACUAACUCUCUUUGUUAUUAACUGUGUUAGUGUAACAUUGAAUUUGUCAGAAGUGCAUACCUUACUGAGAAUUUAGGUUGAACAGGCAUUUAAUGAACAUCUAGUCACUACUAAAUGUGCUCAUAUAAGUUUAAGGGAUACAAUUUAAAUGAGGUAAGCAUUUGCCACAUUUUACCCAAGAGGUACCAAAACAGGGUCAGUGUACUGACUAGCUUAGCCAUGAUAAAGACUCCUAAGAGAGAGAAUGCCAGGGUUCUGCCCUCACAGUCUGUAUUCUGUCAUUAUGCUCUAAGACACUAUGUUGUUUAUUAUAUUAAUAAUUUUUAAAAAAUUCAAUAACUGACCCAUUAUUCUGGUUCAGUCAACAUGCCUAAAAUCUCUUAAAUAUAUUGUGAAGUACUAUGCUUUGUGGAAACGAUGAAUUAAUAUUAGAAGUCUUAUAAGGUAAAAAAAAAGUAAAUAUUUUUAAACAAAAAUAUUAAUGGAAAAUAGAGUUGAAGGGAAAAAUUGGACAAUUUGUGGUUUGCUCUGUCUUUCUAAAUUUUUUUUUAUUUAUUAUGUAUAUAGUAUUCUGCUUGCAUAUAUGCCUGCACACCAGAAGAGGGCACCAGAUCUCAUU
Non-coding RNA from Peromyscus maniculatus bairdii (prairie deer mouse), 3483 nucleotides. The record is from RefSeq and is a predicted model, not a curated record. NCBI's taxonomy places the organism in Eukaryota, Metazoa, Chordata, Mammalia, Rodentia, Cricetidae.